GACGAACGCUGGCGGCGUGCUUAACACAUGCAAGUCGAACGGAAAGGCCCUGCUUUUGUGGGGUGCUCGAGUGGCGAACGGGUGAGUAACACGUGAGUAACCUGCCCUUGACUUUGGGAUAACUUCAGGAAACUGGGGCUAAUACCGGAUAGGAGCUCCUGCUGCAUGGUGGGGGUUGGAAAGUUUCGGCGGUUGGGGAUGGACUCGCGGCUUAUCAGCUUGUUGGUGGGGUAGUGGCUUACCAAGGCUUUGACGGGUAGCCGGCCUGAGAGGGUGACCGGCCACAUUGGGACUGAGAUACGGCCCAGACUCCUACGGGAGGCAGCAGUGGGGAAUAUUGCACAAUGGGCGGAAGCCUGAUGCAGCAACGCCGCGUGCGGGAUGACGGCCUUCGGGUUGUAGACCGCUUUCGCCUGUGACGAAGCGUUAGUGACGGUAAUGGGUAAAGAAGCACCGGCUAACUACGUG
RNAcentral lists this ribosomal RNA (468 nucleotides) under uncultured bacterium. Its description in RNAcentral is "partial 16S ribosomal RNA". It matches the Rfam family "Bacterial small subunit ribosomal RNA", at positions 28 to 507 of the family's 1533-position model. The record is from RNAcentral.